Molecule: ribosomal RNA, 460 nt
Filed under: uncultured bacterium
Lineage: Bacteria
Description: SSU rRNA
Rfam family: Bacterial small subunit ribosomal RNA
Source: RNAcentral
AGAACGAACGCUGGCGGCAUGCCUAACACAUGCAAGUCGAACGCUUUUGGGGCUUCGGUCCCAAAGGAGUGGCGCACGGGUGAGUAGCGCGUGGGAACCUGCCCUGUUGUGGGGGAUAACCGAGGGAAACUUCGGCUAAUACCGCAUACGCCCGGGGGAAACUCCGGGGAAAGAUUUAUCGCAGCAGGAGGGGCCCGCGUCGGAUUAGGUAGUUGGUGGGGUAACGGCCCACCAAGCCUGUGAUCCGUAGCUGGUCUGAGAGGAUGAUCAGCCACACUGGGACUGAGACACGGCCCAGACUCCUACGGGAGGCAGCAGUGGGGAAUAUUGGACAAUGGGCGCAAGCCUGAUCCAGCAAUGCCGCGUGAGUGAUGAAGGCCUUCGGGUUGUAAAGCUCUUUCGCACGCGACGAUGAUGACGGUAGCGUGAGAGAAGCCCGCUAACUCGUGCCAGCAGCCGC